This 413-nucleotide long non-coding RNA is filed under the name Ursus maritimus (polar bear). Its description in RNAcentral is "lncRNA (ENSUMAG00000021100.1)". The record is from RNAcentral. Lineage: Eukaryota; Metazoa; Chordata; Mammalia; Carnivora; Ursidae.
CAGAAGUUGUCUGAAGGGAGAAGAGCUGGAGCGAGGAGCAGCGGAUGUGGGGAGAGAGCGGAUGUGGCACAAGUGUGUUCACCCGAGCACAUCGCACCUUGAAAAGCGCUUGUCCCAUCAUGGGCAUGCCACAUAUUUGUUGGAUUGCAUUCUUACCCAAAUACUCUUCGUGAUUGCCUGCUUUGCGGCUUUGGGGUGCAGCUCAUGGAAAUCUUUAAGGGAUAGAUUCUCCAGGGAGUAGAGAACAUUCACACGGAUUGACAUCCCAAUUUUCUCAUCCUGUUGAAUCCGACUUUUUCAUUUACCGACAACUAACUCAAAAAUCUUAAAUUUGGUAUUUUGAAGUUUGUAUUUCCAAAUAUCCCAAAACUCUUCCUUUUCCUAUGGCCCCUCCCCAGCAUGUUCUGAAGUGG